This 653-nucleotide ribosomal RNA is filed under the name uncultured bacterium. RNAcentral describes it as "bacterial SSU rRNA". It matches the Rfam family "Bacterial small subunit ribosomal RNA", at positions 51 to 749 of the family's 1533-position model. The record is from RNAcentral.
ACACAUGCAAGUCGAACGCAACCUUCGGGUUGAGUGGCGGACGGGUGAGUAACGCGUGAGAAUCUGCCUUAGGGUCGGGGACAACCACUGGAAACGGUGGCUAAUACCGGAUACGCCUUCGGGUAAAAGAUUUAUUGCCCUAAGAGGAGCUCGCGUCUGAUUAGCUAGUUGGUGAGGUAAGAGCUCACCAAGGCAGCGAUCAGUAGCUGGUCUGAGAGGACGAUCAGCCACACUGGGACUGAGACACGGCCCAGACUCCUACGGGAGGCAGCAGUGGGGAAUUUUCCGCAAUGGGCGAAAGCCUGACGGAGCAAGACCGCGUGAGGGAGGAAGGCUCUUGGGUUGUAAACCUCUUUUCUCAGGGAAGAAGCUCUGACGGUACCUGAGGAAUCAGCCUCGGCUAACUCCGUGCCAGCAGCCGCGGUAAUACGGAGGAGGCAAGCGUUAUCCGGAAUUAUUGGGCGUAAAGCGUCCGCAGGUGGCGAUUCAAGUCUGCUGUCAAAGCACGGGGCUUAACUCCGUAAAGGCAGUGGAAACUGAAUAGCUAGAGUGCCGUAGGGGUAGAGGGAAUUCCCGGUGUAGCGGUGAAAUGCGUAGAGAUCGGGAAGAACAUCGGUGGCGAAAGCGCUCUACUGGACGGCAACUGACACUCA